CCAGAUCCCUUUCGCCUGGCAGAAAGAUCAUAAAGUAAACUCUUUCUGAGUGGAGUACUAUAACUCAUAACUGCAGUUUAAAUCUGGGCUUUAAAAAAACAAAUAUUUUAAUAAGCCAAUUUUAAAGGCUGAACUUUUAUGACAGUUUUUAAGCUUAGUAUUUAUAUUAAUCUAUUCUCACUGGUGUCUUAAAAAACCCUGUGAAUGUAUGCUGGAAUGUCUGUUUAUGUUUGUGUCUUGUCCUGGGAAAGGAUAAAUGUGCUGCAAAAAGCAAACCAAAAACAAAGCCUUCUGCGAGAAAGAGUUCAUGGAUGAGGCAAUAAAAUUCAAAGAAGAGAUGACUAAGUUAGCGUAGCCAAGAUACAGAGAGAGCCAUAAAGUAGACAUAGAAACUGAGGGAGACGGACAUGGAUGCACUCAAAAGUAAAGCCAAGAUGGAACACUAAAAGCAGAAACUGCCUAAAAGCAUAUUUUACA
This 477-nucleotide long non-coding RNA is filed under the name Bos taurus (domestic cattle). RNAcentral describes it as "long non-coding RNA NONBTAT019124". Lineage: Eukaryota; Metazoa; Chordata; Mammalia; Artiodactyla; Bovidae. The record is from RNAcentral.